Molecule: ribosomal RNA, 487 nt
Filed under: Listeria innocua
Lineage: Bacteria; Bacillati; Bacillota; Bacilli; Caryophanales; Listeriaceae
Description: bacterial SSU rRNA
Rfam family: Bacterial small subunit ribosomal RNA
Source: RNAcentral
ACGAACGCUGGCGGCGUGCCUAAUACAUGCAAGUCGAACGAACGGAGGAAGAGCUUGCUCUUCCAAAGUUAGUGGCGGACGGGUGAGUAACACGUGGGCAACCUGCCUGUAAGUUGGGGAUAACUCCGGGAAACCGGGGCUAAUACCGAAUGAUAGAGUGUGGCGCAUGCCACGCUYUUGAAAGAUGGUUUCGGCUAUCGCUUACAGAUGGGCCCGCGGUGCAUUAGCUAGUUGGUAGGGUAAUGGCCUACCAAGGCAACGAUGCAUAGCCGACCUGAGAGGGUGAUCGGCCACACUGGGACUGAGACACGGCCCAGACUCCUACGGGAGGCAGCAGUAGGGAAUCUUCCGCAAUGGACGAAAGUCUGACGGAGCAACGCCGCGUGUAUGAAGAAGGUUUUCGGAUCGUAAAGUACUGUUGUUAGAGAAGAACAAGGAUAAGAGUAACUGCUUGUCCCUUGACGGUAUCUAACCAGAAAGCCACGGC